UACGGAGGGGGCUAGCGUUGUUCGGAAUUACUGGGCGUAAAGCGCGCGUAGGCGGACCUGCAAGUCGGUGGUGAAAGCCCGAGGCUCAACCUCGGAACUGCCUUCGAUACUGCGGGUCUCGAGUCCGGGAGAGGUGAGUGGAAUUCCUAGUGUAGCGGUGAAAUGCGUAGAUAUUGGGAGGAACACCAGUGGCGAAGGCGGCUCACUGGACCGGUACUGACGCUGAUGCGCGAAAGCGUGGGGAGCAAACAGG
Molecule: ribosomal RNA, 253 nt
Filed under: uncultured bacterium
Lineage: Bacteria
Description: partial 16S ribosomal RNA
Rfam family: Bacterial small subunit ribosomal RNA
Source: RNAcentral